CCUACGGGGGGCAGCAGUGGGGAAUAUUGGGCAAUGGGCGCAAGCCUGACCCAGCAACGCCGCGUGAAGGAAGACGGCUUUCGGGUUGUAAACUUCUUUUAAGGGGGAAGAGCAGAAGACGGUACCCCUUGAAUAAGCUACGGCUAACUACGUGCCAGCAGCCGCGGCAAUACGUAGGUGGCAAGAGUUGUCCGGAUUUACUGGGUGUAAAGGGCGUGCAGCCGGGGAGACAAGUCAGAUGUGAAAUCUACGGGCUCAACCCGUGAACUGCAUUUGAAACUGUUUCCCUUGAGUGUCGGAGAGGUAAUCGGAAUUCCUUGUGUAGCGGUGAAAUGCGUAGAUAUAAGGAAGAACACCAGUGGCGAAGGCGGAUUACUGGACGAUAACUGACGGUGAGGCGCGAAAGCGUGGGGAGCAAACAGGAUUAGAUACCCUGGUAGUC
RNAcentral lists this ribosomal RNA (442 nucleotides) under uncultured bacterium. RNAcentral describes it as "partial 16S ribosomal RNA". It matches the Rfam family "Bacterial small subunit ribosomal RNA", at positions 338 to 795 of the family's 1533-position model. The record is from RNAcentral.